RNAcentral lists this long non-coding RNA (850 nucleotides) under Sus scrofa (pig). RNAcentral's name for it is "lncRNA (ENSSSCG00070016406.1)". The record is from RNAcentral. Lineage: Eukaryota; Metazoa; Chordata; Mammalia; Artiodactyla; Suidae.
CUUCCACUCUGGCGGUGGCCCCACGCCCCUGGUUCUAGAAGGUCCUCAGGGGCGUGGAGGUGACCCCCCUCGCUGGCACAUGCCUCAGGCCUCCCCCCCCCCGCCUCGAUUUCCCCAAGGCCAAGGGGGACUCUCUCCACCUUCGAGGAUGACCCCAUGCAAGCCCGAAAAUGGGUAGACACAAGUGAGCGGAGAGCAUGAUUUCUGAAUGACAAGGAGGACGGUUUAUUGGGAGUUGACAGGUGCAGGAGGAAGGGCUGGGCUGGACCAGGGUCGCGGGGGAGACCCUCGCGGGGGUCCUGUGGCUCCAGGCCCCUGAGGGUGGGGGCCCAGGGACCUAGGCGCACUCGGAGGGCGUCACUGUCUUCUCCACAAUGGUCCCCUCGUGGGUGACCUGGCAGGUGAAGCCGCUGGAAGAUUUCCAGUCACUGGCGGACAGGGCCAGGUAGCUGCUGGCCGCGUACUUGUUGUUGCUCUGUUUCGAGGGCUUGGUGGUCUCCACGCCCUGGGUGACGGUGGUGCCGCCUGCCUUCCAGGUGAAGCCGCUGGAAGAUUUCCAGUCACUGGCGGACAGGGCCAGGUAGCUGCUGGCCGCGUACUUGUUGUUGCUCUGUUUCGAGGGCUUGGUGGUCUCCACGCCCUGGGUGACGGUGGUGCCGCUGCCUUCCAGUCACCGUCACGGCGCCCGGUAGAAGUCACUUAUUAGACACACCAGGGUGGCCUUGUUGGUGCCGAGCUCCUCAGAGGAGGGCGGGAAGAGGUUGACCGUGGGAGCGGCCUUGGGCUGACCUGGGGGUCGGGGAGAGACGGGAGGUCGUUGGCUCAGUGUCCAUCAGGGGAAUCCCCUGUG